ACGCAAGGACUAAACCACCAGGAAUGAAGAUCUCAUCUCUUUCUCAUUUUCAUGACUUCUGUUACCUGCAGCAAUGUUUGAUAUAACUGCUUUCCAACCCUCACCAGAGAGACUCUUUCUCUUUGCCAUGCCCUGGAGUUUUCAGCAUUGCUCAACUCGAGCUUUAUUUAGAUAGGACUGUUUUUUCUUUUUUCUUUUUUUUUUGGCAGUCAGUUUUCCCUUGUUAAAUCCUGAGUGCUCUGGCACUCAGUCAUUUCAGAGUAAUUUAUUCAUGUUUACCUUGGUUUUCCUCCACAGAAAAUUAAAAGAUGCUCUCACUAACGUGGCCAUUACUCUCUGGAAUUGUGUCCAGUAAGCCUCUGCUCCCACAGGACCUCCCGUACAGCCACACCGGAGAGGUAGCUGCUUCCAGAAGCUGUAUUGUUCUCCUGCAAAGCUGUUCUGUUCCUACUCUGUGCUUCUGCAGAUAGUCUACACAGGAUGUAUGAAGUUUGGGAAGACUUUUAAAAGACUUUGGGCUAAAUACCAGAUCUGGAAACUAUGAGGUAAGAUCAGUCUUCUAGUGCUUAUGGGUGUAUUUACAUUAUCUCAUAAAAAUAGGUGCUGAUUCAGGUGCUGUCUGUAUGUGCAGCUAUAAUAAGAUUUCAGUUUGGAUUUUCAUUGGUCAGUUAUAUUAUUUGAUGUUCAAGAUGAGCUCCAAAGAUUAAUUUCUCUCCAUCUCCCGCAUCUCACACUGAGAUCCAUUUUUUUAUUUAUUUUUUUUUUUCCAGCUCAGUCUUCAGGUUAUUUGAUAAUGCAGCUGCUGGUAUUCGCUCCAUGAAACCAAUUGUCUUAUGAGUUAAGUGCCAUGAGGCCCUGUGCUGGCUGUUUUUAUAAUGACAGUUUUCCUGGGAAAAUAGCAGCACACUUAGACUCAGAUUCACAAAUGCAUGCAAUUCAGAGCUUUAUACUACACAGUCAUUUGCAAAGAGAACAAAACAAAACAAAACCA
This 991-nucleotide long non-coding RNA is filed under the name Anas zonorhyncha (Eastern spot-billed duck). RNAcentral's name for it is "lncRNA (ENSAZOG00000004332.1)". The record is from RNAcentral. Lineage: Eukaryota; Metazoa; Chordata; Aves; Anseriformes; Anatidae.